AACGCGAAGAACCUUACCAGGGCUUGACAUGGGGAGGACGCAGCCAGAGAUGGCUGUUCCCGCAAGGGCCUCCCACACAGGUGCUGCAUGGCUGUCGUCAGCUCGUGUCGUGAGAUGUUGGGUUAAGUCCCGCAACGAGCGCAACCCUCGCCUUCAGUUGCCAGCAGGUUUGGCUGGGCACUCUGAAGGAACUGCCGGUGACAAGCCGGAGGAAGGUGGGGAUGACGUCAAGUCCUCAUGGCCCUUAUGUCCUGGGCUACACACGUGCUACAAUGGCGGUGACAGCGGGAUGCCAGGUCGCAAGGCCGAGCCGAUCCCAAAAAGCCGUCUCAGUUCAGAUUGCACUCUGCAACUCGGGUGCAUGAAGGUGGAAUCGCUAGUAAUCGCGGAUCAGCACGCCGCGGUGAAUACGUUCCCGGGCCUUGUACACACCGACAUA
Molecule: ribosomal RNA, 439 nt
Filed under: uncultured bacterium
Lineage: Bacteria
Description: bacterial SSU rRNA
Rfam family: Bacterial small subunit ribosomal RNA
Source: RNAcentral